GUUUCCUUGGUAACGCAGCUAACGCGUGAAGUUGACCGCCUGGGGAGUACGGCCGCAAGGUUAAAACUCAAAGGAAUUGACGGGGACCCGCACAAGCGGUGGAUGAUGUGGAUUAAUUCGAUGCAACGCGAAAAACCUUACCUACGCUUGACAUGUCAGGAACUUUCCAGAGAUGGAUUGGUGCCCGAAAGGGAACCUGAACACAGGUGCUGCAUGGCUGUCGUCAGCUCGUGUCGUGAGAUGUUGGGUUAAGUCCCGCAACGAGCGCAACCCUUAUCAUUAGUUGCUACGCAAGGGCACUCUAAUGAGACUGCCGGUGACAAACCGGAGGAAGGUGGGGAUGACGUCAAGUCCUCAUGGCCCUUAUGUGUAGGGCUUCACACGUCAUACAAUGGUCGGUACAGAGGGUCGCCAACCCGCGAGGGGGAGCCAAUCCCAGAAAGCCGAUCGUAGUCCGGAUUGCAGUCUGCAACUCGACUGCAUGAAGUCGGAAUCGCUAGUAAUCGCGGAUCAGCAUGUCGCGGUGAAUACGUUCCCGGGUCUUGUACACGCCGCCCGUCACACCAUGGGAGUGGGUUUUACCAGAAGUAGUUAGCCUAACCGCAAGGA
RNAcentral lists this ribosomal RNA (609 nucleotides) under uncultured beta proteobacterium. RNAcentral's name for it is "bacterial SSU rRNA". It matches the Rfam family "Bacterial small subunit ribosomal RNA", at positions 834 to 1447 of the family's 1533-position model. The record is from RNAcentral. Lineage: Bacteria; Pseudomonadati; Pseudomonadota; Betaproteobacteria.